Molecule: ribosomal RNA, 492 nt
Filed under: uncultured bacterium
Lineage: Bacteria
Description: partial 16S ribosomal RNA
Rfam family: Bacterial small subunit ribosomal RNA
Source: RNAcentral
AGUGAACGCUGGCGGUAGGCCUAACACAUGCAAGUCGAACGGCAGCACAGUAAGAGCUUGCUCUUACGGGUGGCGAGUGGCGGACGGGUGAGGAAUACAUCGGAAUCUACUUUUUCGUGGGGGAUAACGUCGGGAAACUUACGCUAAUACCGCAUACGACCUACGGGUGAAAGCAGGGGAUCUUCGGACCUUGCGCGAUUGAAUGAGCGGAUGUCGGAUUAGCUAGUUGGCGGGGUAAAGGCCCACCAAGGCGACGAUCCGCAGCUGGUCGGAGAGGAUGAUCAGCCACACUGGAACUGUGACACGGUCCAGACUCCUACGGGAGGCAGCAGUGGGGAAUAUUGGACAAUGGGCGCAAGCCUGAUCCAGCCAUACCGCGUGGGUGAAAAAGGCCUUCGGGUUGUAAAGCCCUUCUGUUGGGAAAGAAAAGCAGCAGGUUAAUACCCCGCUGUUCUGACGGUACCCAAAGAAUAAGCACCGGCUAACUUCGUG